Molecule: long non-coding RNA, 202 nt
Organism: Chelonoidis abingdonii (Abingdon island giant tortoise)
Lineage: Eukaryota; Metazoa; Chordata; Testudines; Testudinidae
Source: RefSeq, a predicted model, not a curated record
AGUCAGUGGUUUCUCCCAGAAAACGAUUGCGCUACUGGAGGCUCUGAGGAAGUUCAAAGACACUCUGCCGUCUGCACUGGAGAGAAAAAGAGGGGAACCACUCGGAGCGCACAGACAGGUGAAUGUGACUCUGGAUCCAGACACGGCUCAUCCCCAACUCGUCCUGUCUGAGGAUCGGAAACGUGUGAGAUGGGAAGACACA